Molecule: ribosomal RNA, 320 nt
Filed under: uncultured eukaryote
Lineage: Eukaryota
Description: partial 18S ribosomal RNA
Rfam family: Eukaryotic small subunit ribosomal RNA
Source: RNAcentral
CCCCUAGAUGUUCUGGGCCGCACGCGCGCUACACUGAACAGUUCAACAAGUCUUAACCUUGGCCGAUAGGUCUGGGUAAUCUUUGAACGCUGUUCGUGAUUGGGAUAGACCUUUGCAAUUAUGGGUCUUCAACGAGGAAUUCCUAGUAAACGCAAGUCACCAGCUUGCAUUGAUUACGUCCCUGCCCUUUGUACACACCGCCCGUCGCACCUACCGAUUGAAUGGUCCGGUGAAAUCUCGGGACGGCGGCUUGGUCGCUUGCGUCCGACUGCUGAAACUUGAUUAAACCAUAUCAUUUAGAGGAAGGUGAAGUCGUANCA